AACCCUAACCCGAUAGCCUCCGCACCCCUCCCCUGCGUCGAACUCACACGAGCACCCCCACCCUCAUCCCCUUCUCUCUCUCACCCCCUCUUCUCCGACCUCGAGCUCUUUCACCUCUACUCAUCCUCCGCGUCCUCUCCAAGCUCUGAUCCCACCCCCAAAUCGCCCGUGCUAUCGCCCCCGACCUACUCUGCCUUGCGAGGACGAUCCUCGACCCGGCGAUCCGAUCCGAGCCCUCGACGGUGCUGCUUCUCUAUUCCUCUUCUCGAUUUGGUGCUCCGAUCCAUUGUGAUUCAAGUGAUUCAGAUGGCGAUUAUCUCGACUCGUGCAUAUGCUCCAUGAUGUAAGAUCACACUAUAUUUGUUCCUCUUACUAUGAAUGCAAGCAACUACUGAAACACACAUCCUGUUUGGAGUUGCUGUAUGCGAAAAUGCCCCAAGUUUUCUUUGUAGCAAUCUUUUUAGUUAUCACUAUUAACAUCUUAUGAGCGAACAAUUAGUGCUCGAGAGAGUUGAUGAGGAUGUUUGCAGAAACGUUCGCGGAUCAUUGAGAGUACAAGUGUUCAGCAGAGGAAAAAGGUGGUAAAAGAGAAAUUCGAUUACGGCUGCUGUACAAAUUCUAUAUUUAUUCUUUUCAUGAAUAAUAUAUUUCCGGAUCUCAGGUUUUGCUGCAGU
Long non-coding RNA from Ananas comosus (pineapple), 674 nucleotides. RefSeq lists it as uncharacterized. The transcript has 2 exons. The record is from RefSeq and is a predicted model, not a curated record. Lineage: Eukaryota; Viridiplantae; Streptophyta; Magnoliopsida; Poales; Bromeliaceae.